RNAcentral lists this ribosomal RNA (482 nucleotides) under uncultured bacterium. RNAcentral describes it as "bacterial SSU rRNA". It matches the Rfam family "Bacterial small subunit ribosomal RNA", at positions 32 to 489 of the family's 1533-position model. The record is from RNAcentral.
AAUCAACGCUGGCGGCGUGCCUAACACAUGCAAGUCGAACGCGAAAGCCCCGCAAGGGUGAGUAGAGUGGCAAACGGGUGAGUAACACGUGGGUGAUCUGCCUCAGAGUGGGGGAUAACGACCCGAAAGGGUCGCUAAUACCGCAUAACAUCCUGCCUUUGGAUAGGUGGCGAUCAAAGUUGGGGAUCCGCAAGGACCUGACGCUUGGAGAGGAGCCCGCGGCCGAUUAGCUAGUUGGUGAGGUAACGGCUCACCAAGGCAACGAUCGGUAUCCGGCCUGAGAGGGCGGACGGACACACUGGGACUGAGACACGGCCCAGACUCCUACGGGAGGCAGCAGUGGGAAUUGUUCGCAAUGGGCGCAAGCCUGACGACGCAACGCCGCGUGGAGGACGAAGAUUUUCGGAUCGUAAACUCCUUUCGAUCGGGAAGAACAGCUCCUGGGUUAAUAGCCUGAGAGUCUGACGGUACCGAGAGAAGAA